GUGGUGCAGCAGGCGCGAAAACUUUACAAUGCCGGCAACAGCGAUAAGGGAACCUCGAGUGCCAGGUUACAAAUCUGGCUGUCGUGAUGCCUAAAAAGCAUUGCAUAGCAAGGGCCGGGCAAGACCGGUGCCAGCCGCCGCGGUAACACCGGCGGCUCGAGUGGUAACCGUUAUUAUUGGGUCUAAAGGGUCUGUAGCCGGCCGGAUAAGUUUCUUGGGAAAUCUGGCAGCUUAACUGUCAGGCUUUCAGGAGAUACUGUCUGGCUCGAGGCCGGGAGAGGUGAGAGGUACUUCAGGGGUAGGGGUGAAAUCUUGUAAUCCUUGGAGGACCACCAGUGGCGAAGGCGUCUCACCAGAACGGACCUGACGGCAAGGGACGAAAGCUAGGGGCGCGAACCGGAUUAGAUACCCGGGUAGUCCUAGCUGUAAAGGAUGCGCGGGAGGGUGAGGGGGAGGGCGGGCAGGGAGGGGAGGAAUGGAGGGGAGC
RNAcentral lists this ribosomal RNA (487 nucleotides) under uncultured euryarchaeote. RNAcentral describes it as "bacterial SSU rRNA". It matches the Rfam family "Archaeal small subunit ribosomal RNA", at positions 327 to 812 of the family's 1478-position model. Lineage: Archaea; Methanobacteriati; Methanobacteriota. The record is from RNAcentral.